GUAGGUGAACCUGCGGAAGGAUCAUUAACACGUAUCCAAACGUUAAACCCCCCCGUGAAUAUUGAAGUUGCUCUCCUGACGUCCUGUGACGGUCUUGCAAAAGCGCGCCCCCAUGGUAUCUCACAUGUUUGUUAUGACUCAUGGAGCCGCGUUAGUCGCAAUGAUAGUCUCAGCACGGAGUGUGGAUCUGAUGCGGCACUGUUACAAGUACUGGCUCGGUUGCCCCUGUUCCUGGUCUGAAAGUGUCCGG
Molecule: unclassified non-coding RNA, 250 nt
Filed under: plant metagenome
Description: partial contains small subunit ribosomal RNA, internal transcribed spacer 1, and 5.8S ribosomal RNA
Source: RNAcentral